RNAcentral lists this unclassified non-coding RNA (850 nucleotides) under Hevea brasiliensis (rubber tree). Lineage: Eukaryota; Viridiplantae; Streptophyta; Magnoliopsida; Malpighiales; Euphorbiaceae. The record is from RNAcentral.
AGAGCUUGCAAGCAAAUCUCAACUUCUAGAAGCUGAACUUGGGAGAAAGACAAAGCAGCUGAAGGAUGCAACUGCAAAAGCUGCAGUUGAAGCAGAGAAAAGAAGAGCAGCGAAACACGUGAUCAAGUCUCUGACUGCCCAGCUGAAGGAGGUAACUGAAAGGCUUCCAGAAGAGCAGGUCUCCACCAACAAUUUAGAUUUUAAUGUUGAACAAACAUCGUUUAACUGUACCCGUCCUUCAAAUGGUAAAUGUGUAACUACCACAACCCUAACCGAGUGCAGUGGUAGUUCUAAUACUGUUGUCUCAGCUAAGAAGUCUAGAGGGCAGAAGCCAGAACGCAUGUUACAAGUUGAACCAGGCGUGUACCUAUAUCUUAUUUCCUUACCUGAUGGAGGCAAUGAACUGAAACGAGUUCGUUUCAGCCGGAAAUGCUUCUCAGAGGACGAGGCAGAGAAGUGGUGGAACGAAAAUGGACAAAAAAUCUGUGAGAAGUACAACAUCACACCAGAACAUGUCUAGUAACAGUGCAUUUUGUCAUGUAAAAAGACGCGGAGGAAGGCUAUCCAAUGGAUUUUUACAAUCAUCUCUGUUCUUCGCGAUAACACAGGAAUUUUUGGUCAUUUUUGAGCAACUAGAAACUAGAACAAGGAGCAGCAUCCAGGAAUCAGCUGAAGACAGAGGAAAAGGUUAUGGAGAGAUUAGAAGAAUCUGAGUUUUAGUUUGUAUUUUUUGUAUAUCGUUUUUGACGCGAUUUCGAUGAUUUUAUUAUAACUAUAGCUAGUUUUCAUGUAGCAAAAUUAGCGAGCAGAAUCAACCAAUUUGUAGGUACAGCUUUUCUUUUUGAAUUUG